RNAcentral lists this small RNA (134 nucleotides) under Klebsiella quasipneumoniae. Its description in RNAcentral is "RtT sRNA". It matches the Rfam family "RtT RNA". Rfam says of the family: This family represents a bacterial cis-regulatory element known as RtT RNA. The exact function of RtT is unknown although it is thought that it may be involved in changing the cellular response in relation to amino acid starvation. RNAcentral also lists the same sequence under 1 other name. Lineage: Bacteria; Pseudomonadati; Pseudomonadota; Gammaproteobacteria; Enterobacterales; Enterobacteriaceae. The record is from RNAcentral.
UUGCAUCUGUAGCCAGGGAGGAUGAGAACCUCCGGGGGCAGGAGGUUCGACUCGAGCGCAGCGAGAGAACGUUGCGUCAGCAACGGCCCGCAGGGCGAGCCACAAAGUGGCGAGUCAUCCUCUAUCACCGACCA